This 468-nucleotide ribosomal RNA is filed under the name uncultured bacterium. Its description in RNAcentral is "partial 16S ribosomal RNA". It matches the Rfam family "Bacterial small subunit ribosomal RNA", at positions 28 to 507 of the family's 1533-position model. The record is from RNAcentral.
GACGAACGCUGGCGGCGUGCUUAACACAUGCAAGUCGAACGGAUAGGUCCUGCUUAUGUUGGGUGCUCGAGUGGCGAUAGGUAGAUUAACACGUGAGUAACCUGCGCUUGCCUUUGGGAUAACCUCAUGAAACUGGGUCUAAUAACGGAUAGCAGCAACUGCUGAAUAGAGGGGCUAGGAGAGUUUCUGCGGUUGGGGAUGGACUCGCGGCUUAUCAGCUUGUUGGUGGGGUAGUGGCAUACCAAGGCUUUGACCGGUAGCCGGCCUGUGAGGUUGACCGGCGCCAUGGGGACUGAGAUACGGCGCAGACGGCAACUGGAGGCAGCGGGGGAGAAUAUUGCACAAUGGGGGGAAGCCAAAUGAAGCGUAGCCGCGUGCGGAAUGACGGGCUUCGGGUGGUAAACCGUUUAUGCCUGGGAUGAAGUGCGAGUGACGGUAAUGGAUAAAGAAGCACCGGCUAACUACGUG